Molecule: long non-coding RNA, 1699 nt
Organism: Carassius auratus (goldfish)
Lineage: Eukaryota; Metazoa; Chordata; Actinopteri; Cypriniformes; Cyprinidae
Exons: 3
Source: RefSeq, a predicted model, not a curated record
UAAACAAGGAAGUCACUUAUACACCGCGAAUGUUUUUAUACAGUCUAUGAAUGAGCCGAGUGCUGCGGUUUAUGUCUGUUUUUCAUUUGUGUUGUCUACUCGCGAGUGAAGUUUGUAUUUAUAGCAUAGACUGUAUAAAAACAGAUUUAUACACGUAAUCAAGCACUUAUAGUAUCCUAACCGUUUCCAGGAUCAAGAACUCCGAUUUGUUAUUGUGUAUUUAAAACGCACUUGGAUUUCGUUAUAAGGCACCCUCAUUUCUUUUUUCAUAUAAAAUUACACCUGUUUGACCUGUUAACAAAAGAAAGUUCACUUUAAUGUCUUUAGAUGAACAGUAUAUUGUUUGACACUGCAAAGAUUUGGUUUAUCAUCAAUGUCAUGCUUAUAAAUGGCUCAUUGAUUUAAUCCAUUCUGGAAGCAGUAUGACCUUUAUUGACCUUUAUUAUCUUUAUUAUCCUGUGGUGUUAACCUUACAGAUCUCCAGUCUGUUUUGCAUGGUAAUAUGUUGUAUGUAAGAUAUACAGUAGCUCAAAUGUAUAUCUAGUAUUUAUUGAUAAUUUGGUUGUAGGAAGAAGGAAACUUAAAUUGUUGUAUUUUUGAUUGAAGUUGUGUUUUUAAAUCAGCAGGGAUCUGCUAUAAUGUCAUCACCUGUGGAUGUUAUCGUGGUUGGAGCUUGUAACAGAGGAGAAAACUAUUCUUACAAUGCUGUGAUUUUUCCUGACCACAUGGAGAUUGGCAUCGCGUAGCAGAUAGAGAAAUUUGCUGAUGCUGUAUUGAUCUGCACUCCUGAUCGUCUUCCUAAGGACCCUUGCUGUGGCUUUAGCUAAGAAAGACUACCAUGUACUGCUGGAAAAACCAAUGACUGUAAGUGUUUGCCAUAAGGCUUCAUGACAUGAUGCUUUUUGUUGGGCUCUAUUAAAUGAUUCAAAAGUGCUUUAAAAUGCAGUUCGUGCAUGCAUGAUUUAUAGGCUCCUAUUCUAUCAUGAGCACAUUUUUAAUUUUUAAAUUAAAAUCUAAACAUUUUAGGGGCACAAAAGGUUACAGAUGAGGACUGCACAGAGAUUGUAGAGUCUUAAUAAACAACUUUCCAAGUCUCAAGCAGAAAAGAACAUACACAUUUGUUUUCAACAAUUCUGUUGAUUGACAGUGGAGUGAUUGGCGAUGUCAUCCACAUUCAACAUCUGGAACCAGUAGGAUGUGUUUAAUGAGUUUGCUGUGGCUUCUCUAAUGGGUGGGGUUCUAGCACUUUACUCACUCCUUUGUCAGAGGAACUGUAGAAACAAGGCAGAAAGCUUUAUUUUUCUGUUUUUUUAUUUUUAUUUUUUACUUUUUUUCCCCUUUUUUUGAAAAUGUAUCUAUAUUCAUAAAGUUUUAAGGAAGAUCUUAAAGCUGAAUAAUAUUUUUAGGUGAACAUUUUAUUUUGCAGGUGUAUCAAAGUUCAAAGCACUUCACAAAAGAGAAUAUGGUUGGUAUUAAUAUUAUUGUUUUUUUGUUUGCUUUUGUAAAUGAAAAAUGCUUUUGUGACAUCAUUAAAAAAAAAUAUUUCACAAUCUUCCUAGCCAGCAAAUGCUGCAGAUCGCUGUUUAGACUGUCCUGUAGAGGGGGAUUAUGCAAACUCUUCAAAGAAAAUCUAUUUGGAUCAAGUUAAAAGAGUAAAAUAUUCAUGUACACUACAGUUCACAAGUUUGGGGUCAGCAAG